Molecule: small RNA, 124 nt
Filed under: Marmota monax (woodchuck)
Lineage: Eukaryota; Metazoa; Chordata; Mammalia; Rodentia; Sciuridae
Source: RNAcentral
GCCAGGUGUGGUGGUGCACACCUGUAAUCCCAGCAGCUCAGGAGGCUGAGAUAGGAGAAUCGAGAGUUCAAAGCCAGCCUCAGCAACAUAAGGCACUAAGCAACUCAGUGAGACCCUGUCUCUA